AGCAGCCGCGGUAAUUCCAGCUCCAAUAGCGUAUAUUAAAGUUGUUGCAGUUAAAAAGCUCGUAGUUGAAUUUCGGAAUUUUUUUAUCGGUUGAAUCAACAGGUUCGUACUGAUUUUAAGAAUUUCUACCUUCUGGAGAACCUUAAUGUCAUUAAUUUGGUGUUUUGGGAAACCAGGACUGUUACCUUGAAAAAAUUAGAGUGUUUAAAGCAGGCUUAUGUCUGAAUAUAUUAGCAUGGAAUAAUGAAAUAGGACGGCAUGGUUCUAUUUUGUUGCUAUUUUGUUGGUUUCUAGGAUCACCGUAAUGAUUAAUAGGGAUAGUUGGGGGCAUUAGUAUUCAAUUGUCAGAGGUGAAAUUCUUGGAUUUAUUGAAGACUAACUUCUGCGAAAGCAUUUGCCAAGGAUGUUUUCAUUAAUCAAGAACGAAAGUUAGGGGAUCGAAGACGAUCAGAUACCGUCGUAGUCUUAACCAUAAACUAUGCCGACUAGGAAUCGGACGAAGUUAAUUUUUUAAUGACUCGUUCGGCGCCUUACG
RNAcentral lists this ribosomal RNA (535 nucleotides) under uncultured Pacispora. RNAcentral describes it as "SSU rRNA". It matches the Rfam family "Eukaryotic small subunit ribosomal RNA", at positions 569 to 1092 of the family's 1831-position model. Lineage: Eukaryota; Fungi; Glomeromycota; Glomeromycetes; Diversisporales; Pacisporaceae. The record is from RNAcentral.